GCCUCGUUGGUCUAGGGUAUGAUUCUCGCUUCGGUGUGAGAAAUCCUGGGUUCAAAUCCCGGAUAAGCCC
Ameiurus melas (black bullhead) is the source of this 70-nucleotide non-coding RNA. Lineage: Eukaryota; Metazoa; Chordata; Actinopteri; Siluriformes; Ictaluridae. The record is from the annotation of a GenBank genome assembly.